UGGCAUAUCUGCCCACUUAAUUCUUUUACAGAUGUCACCUGAUCAGAAAUUGGAAGCAAGAAUCAAUGAUUAACACGGAUUAUGUUGAUUCUUGAUGAUUGUUGAUGCGAUUGUUGGUGGUUAUGAAGUCUUGAAUCCUUGUGAAAUGGAGUGAACGGCCAGAAUAAUGGAGAAAAAAAUUAGUUCAUCGAUUGUAGAAUAACGCGGAUGGAGGCUAGAAGAUUAGGGCUCUGAAUGUAUGGUGUACU
Molecule: long non-coding RNA, 248 nt
Filed under: Helianthus annuus (common sunflower)
Lineage: Eukaryota; Viridiplantae; Streptophyta; Magnoliopsida; Asterales; Asteraceae
Description: sRNA HanXRQr2_Chr04g0186051
Source: RNAcentral